Ostrea edulis (European flat oyster) is the source of this 1286-nucleotide long non-coding RNA. RefSeq lists it as uncharacterized. The transcript has 3 exons. The record is from RefSeq and is a predicted model, not a curated record. Lineage: Eukaryota; Metazoa; Mollusca; Bivalvia; Ostreida; Ostreidae.
CAUAAGAGCCGACGUUAACAGAAUGGCAAUGGCCGCGGCCAGUGUGAUUGACGCUCGAUUUUUGAUUACUGGUAUAUAUAUGUUUUGAUUUAUUUAUUAGAUAUUGUGAUUGAAGAUCGAUGUUUGAGUAUAUGUUCCCAAGCUUAACAUUAUGGCUGCAGGUAUUCUAACACCUCGGCGCAUAUACUAUAAAGCAAAUAUAUGUGUGCUUUGUGGAUUCUCAUUUGUUCAAUCAGAGAUAACUUCAACAGGGGAAACGAUUGAAAGAAAUCUAUUUAACAAAAAGCUGAAAUUAACAGACGAUAAAGUCAAAUCUAUACAGCACGUACUUAGUGAAUUUCAACACGACAGUGUUAGCUCCAGCAAUGGUGUUUGUAAAAAUUGCUAUAGAACUGUUGAAAGGAUAAUUAAGAUAGAAAAGGAAGUGGAACAGUUACAGAUAGAAAUAUCUAGAUCCAGAUCUUCGGUUAGGACAAAAUACCAGUUGGCAACACCAUCCCCUACAAAAUCAAAAAUUGAAAAAAGAUUGCGAAUAUCACCAGAAAAAACUGUGAAAAGACCAUUUCCGUCAUCAUUUAAGAAAGUUACAGUUGUGAACAUUCCACCAAUACCAACAAUUUUGCCCAAAACGGAAAAGAAUGAGCCAGUAUGUAAGCCAUUGAGUGUAAGAAGAUCUCUGCCAUUUUCAACUGUUGAGAAUGUUCAAGAUAAGACAGAUAGUUCACUGGAAGGAGAAGUUGAAACAGUUUUAUUUUGCAUGGAAUUACUUAUUUUUCCAUCAACUGCUGCUGAUUUAGCCAUUUGUGACUAACAAGACACAAAGAUCACCAUUCACUACAAGAGUGGAAAAAAACAAAAGUUUAUUGCCAAUCCAAGCCACAAAACCAUUUGUAAAGCUUUACUUAAAGAAAAAGAUGCAGAAAAAACUAUGCUUGAUGUUUUAAAGAAAUCAAAUCCAUCAUAUCUAGUAAACCAGAGUUGUGAAAUAAUUGGCGAUGAAUGUGAAAAGAUAUGCAAGCGCAACAGUGGAAGCGUACUCCAGGAUCGAACAUAUCAUGGUAUAUUGAAUUUUUCAUGGGAUGAAUUGGAAGGAGAAUUACAAACUCUUGCCCCAAAUUUACUUCAAAUAGUAAAAAGCAUUGUUUCAGACAAACCAUCAUCUAUGUCUGACAGAUGUCGCAUACAGAUGCUGAACGCCAUUGCUUGUGCACUACAUGCAAGGUCCAGAGAAAUGACAGCACUUCAAUAUUUAACAGGAUUAAUCUUACUUCAUGGAGGCUCCACUC